RNAcentral lists this ribosomal RNA (222 nucleotides) under uncultured Fusibacter sp. RNAcentral's name for it is "partial 16S ribosomal RNA". It matches the Rfam family "Bacterial small subunit ribosomal RNA", at positions 1161 to 1382 of the family's 1533-position model. Lineage: Bacteria; Bacillati; Bacillota; Clostridia; Eubacteriales; Fusibacteraceae. The record is from RNAcentral.
ACACGGAGGAAGGUGGGGAUGACGUCAAAUCAUCAUGCCCCUUAUGAUCUGGGCUACACACGUGCUACAAUGGCCGGUACAACGGGCAGCGAAGGAGCGAUCCGGAGCGAAUCCUAAAAAGCCGGUCCCAGUUCGGAUUGCAGGCUGAAACUCGCCUACAUGAAGUUGGAGUUGCUAGUAAUCGCGAAUCAGAAUGUCGCGGUGAAUGCGUUCCCGGGUCUU